This is a microRNA precursor of Bison bison bison, 58 nucleotides long. The record is from Ensembl. Lineage: Eukaryota; Metazoa; Chordata; Mammalia; Artiodactyla; Bovidae.
AGAAGUUCGUUCAGGUUUUUCUGUAAGACGGUAUGGAAAACUUGAAUGAACCUUUUGG